GAUCUUGGUUCAGGAUGAACGCUGGCGGCGUGCUUAACACAUGCAAGUCGAACGAAGCCAAAAGGAAGCUUGCUUCUUGAAGCUUAGUGGCGGACGGGUGAGUAACGCGUGAGUAACCUGCCCUUCAGUGGGGAAUAACACAGAGAAAUCUGUGCUAAUACCGCAUAACGUCUUCUUGCCGCAUGACAGGAAGACCAAAGGAUUUAUUCGCUGAAGGAUGGACUCGCGUCCGAUUAGCUAGUUGGUGAGGUAACGGCCCACCAAGGCGACGAUCGGUAGCCGAACUGAGAGGUUGAUCGGCCACAUUGGGACUGAGACACGGCCCAGACUCCUACGGGAGGCAGCAGUGGGGAAUAUUGGGCAAUGGGCGAAAAAGCCUGACCCAGCAACGCCGCGUGAAGGAAGACGGUCUUCGGAUUGUAAACUUCUUUGAUUGGGGAAGAAACAAAUGACCUACCCAAAGAACAAGUCACGGCUAACUACGUGCCAGCAGCGGC
RNAcentral lists this ribosomal RNA (497 nucleotides) under uncultured bacterium. Its description in RNAcentral is "bacterial SSU rRNA". It matches the Rfam family "Bacterial small subunit ribosomal RNA", at positions 15 to 518 of the family's 1533-position model. The record is from RNAcentral.